GCAUUGCUGGUUCAGUAGCAGAAUUCUUGCCUUCUAUGCAGGAGAUCCAGGUUUGAUUCCUGGCCAAUGCA
Molecule: transfer RNA, 71 nt
Filed under: Loxodonta africana (African savanna elephant)
Lineage: Eukaryota; Metazoa; Chordata; Mammalia; Proboscidea; Elephantidae
Rfam family: tRNA
About the family: Transfer RNA (tRNA) molecules are approximately 80 nucleotides in length.
Source: Rfam by way of RNAcentral